This 1114-nucleotide long non-coding RNA is filed under the name Marmota monax (woodchuck). The record is from RNAcentral. Lineage: Eukaryota; Metazoa; Chordata; Mammalia; Rodentia; Sciuridae.
CUUUGCAUUUAGCUUGGUGGCUUGUCUGUUAGCAAUUGGCUGCUGUAGGUACAGUGAGUAGCAAUGAUGUUGGUUCCCAGGGGCAGAAGGCAGAGGGCCUUUGCAAAUGCCCCUGUCCUGCACUCCCACCUUCCCUGGCAUGCCAAACUAGCAAGGCCAAUUUUGUUUCAACUUGCCAACCACCACAUUCUCUGGGCUUUUUCCUCUUGAGAUCACCAUUUCCUCCAUCAUACUGAAAUAUUUUUAGAUGCAAAAGCAUUGCCCUUUAAAUUCCCCAGAUUCCACUGUUUUGUUUUUACCCAUUGCCCUGAAGUUGUGUUUGAUAUGCCUGUGGCCCCUUCCACUCUACGUGUAUUACAGAUGUUUUUAUUAAAAAAAAAAGAUUUCUCCGUUUUAAUGAGGGUUAUCUGACUCUCGUUUCAGAAAUAGGGCUUCUGUAGCAUUAAUGCAACACUUAUUGGUCACCUCCUGUGUCCCAGCAAUGGCAAAGCCCUGGGAAUAGGUUUGGAUGAAACACUGCCCACAACUUCUGAGACUUGAAUAGCUAACGUUUGCAUUGUGUUGCACAAUUUCAAAGGAUGUUCGCAUGCACUUCCUCCUGUGCUUCGACCUGUGCAACAAUUGGGAGUGAUAAGCAGGGUAGCGGAUAUUGUCUCCAUCCCAAAGGCAAAUGGAGACAGUAGACGGGUUGUUCAAGGUCCGUAGUCAACAGUGUUGCUCACCACUCCAGCCUCCUCUUUAGCCUGCAGACCCGUUGAUCCUCCCUCUGCUGCACGUGUCUGACGGGCAUCUAGCACUUUGAGUGAAAGAAUAAGGGCUGUGGUGGCUCCCAGGGACUAGUUGAGGUGUUAAACAGGAGCCUGUGGCUUGUUUGUUGGAUUGACACCUCCUUCAGGUGGUGAGGUGAGGGCAGCCCAUCCACUCUCAGAAGUUUCCGGAUUCUCGGUUGUGUACUUCUUUGAACUUACACUGUUGAAAAAUAUCAAGGUCAGAACAUGAUUGAAGAACCUUCUUCCUCUCUUUUAAGUCUCUGCGCUUCUAUGAUAUUGUUUUCCACUGAAGAAGUUCUCUUAAAAAUGAGAUUGAGAUCCCUAAAGAAAUUGCUUCAAUCAGC